Molecule: ribosomal RNA, 481 nt
Filed under: uncultured bacterium
Lineage: Bacteria
Description: bacterial SSU rRNA
Rfam family: Bacterial small subunit ribosomal RNA
Source: RNAcentral
AAUGAACGCUGGCGGCGCGCUUUACACAUGCAAGUCGAGCGAGAAAGUCCCUUCGGGGAUGAGUAAAGCGGCGGACGGGUGAGUAAUACGCAAGAACUUGCCCCUUAGUGAAGGAUAUCCUUGAGAAAUUAAGGUUAAUACUGCAUAUUUUCCUGCGGGAAGAAAGGCGGCUUUUAUGCUGUCGCUAGGGGAUAGGCUUGUGUGCUAUCAGCUUGUUGGUGGGGUAAUGGCCUACCAAGGCGAUGACGGCUAGCCGGCCUGAGAGGGUGUACGGCCACACUGGAACUGAGACACGGUCCAGACUCCUACGGGAGGCAGCAGUGGGGAAUCUUGCGCAAUGGGCGAAAGCCUGACGCAGCGACGCCGCGUGGAGGAUGACGGUUUUCGGAUUGUAAACUCCUGUUAAGUGGGAAGAAUUGCCUGGCCUUAAUACGGUCAGGCUGUGACGGUACCACUAGAGAAAGCACCGGCUAACUUCGUG